UUAAGUGAAUAAGGGCGCACGGUGGAUGCCUUGGCACUAGGAGCUGAUGAAGGACGGGACUAACACCGAUAUGCUUUGGGGAGCUGUAAGUAAGCUAUGAUCCAGAGAUUUCCGAAUGGGGGAACCCAAUAUCUUUUAUAGGAUAUUACUUUUCAGUGAAUACAUAGCUGAUUAGAGGUAGACGCAGAGAACUGAAACAUCUUAGUACCUGCAGGAAGAGAAAGAAAAUUCGAUUCCCUGAGUAGCGGCGAGCGAAACGGGAAGAGCCCAAACCAACAAGCUUGCUUGUUGGGGUUGUAGGACUCCAAUAUGGUAGUCUGUUAGUAUAGUUGAAGGAUUUGGAAAAUUCCGCUAAAGAGGGUGAAAGCCCCGUAGACGAAAUGCUAACAACACCUAGGAGGAUCCUGAGUACGGCGGAACACGAGAAAUUCCGUCGGAAUCCGCGGGGACCAUCCCGCAAGGCUAAAUACUCCCUAGUGACCGAUAGUGAACCAGUACCGUGAGGGAAAGGUGAAAAGCACCCCGGAAGGGGAGUGAAAUAGAUCCUGAAACCGUGUGCCUACAACAAGUCAAAGCUCGUUAAUGAGUGAUGGCGUGCCUUUUGUAGAAUGAACCGGCGAGUUACGAUUGCAUGCGAGGUUAAGUCGAAGAGACGGAGCCGCAGCGAAAGCGAGUCUGAAUAGGGCGAAUGAGUAUGUAGUCGUAGACCCGAAACCAUGUGAUCUACCCAUGUCCAGGUUGAAGGUGCGGUAAAACGCACUGGAGGACCGAACCCACGUACGUUGAAAAGUGCGGGGAUGAGGUGUGGGUAGCGGAGAAAUUCCAAACGAACUUGGAGAUAGCUGGUUCUCUCCGAAAUAGCUUUAGGGCUAGCCUCGGAAUUGAGAAUGAUGGAGGUAGAGCACUGUUUGGACUAGGGGCCCAUCUCGGGUUACCGAAUUCAGAUAAACUCCGAAUGCCAUUCAUUUAUAUCCGGGAGUCAGACUGCGAGUGAUAAGAUCCGUAGUCGAAAGGGAAACAGCCCAGACCACCAGCUAAGGUCCCAAAAUAUAUGUUAAGUGGAAAAGGAUGUGGGGUUGCACAGACAACUAGGAUGUUGGCUUAGAAGCAGCCACCAUUUAAAGAGUGCGUAAUAGCUCACUAGUCGAGUGACCCUGCGCCGAAAAUGUACCGGGGCUAAACAUAUUACCGAAGCUGUGGACUACACCAUUAGGUGUAGUGGUAGGAGAGCGUUCUAAGGGCGUUGAAGGUCGAUCGUGAGGACGGCUGGAGCGCUUAGAAGUGAGAAUGCCGGUAUGAGUAGCGAAAGACAGGUGAGAAUCCUGUCCACCGUAUGACUAAGGUUUCCUGGGGAAGGCUCGUCCGCCCAGGGUUAGUCGGGACCUAAGCCGAGGCCGAUAGGCGUAGGCGAUGGACAACAGGUUGAUAUUCCUGUACCAGUUGUUUUUGUUUGAGCAAUGGAGGGACGCAGUAGGCUAAGGAAUGCAUGCGAUUGGAAGUGCAUGUCCAAGCAAUGAGUCUUGAGUAGAGUUAAAUGCUUUACUCUCUAAGGACAAGUUGUGACGGGGAGCGAAAUAAUAGUAGCGAAGUUCCUGAUGUCACACUGCCAAGAAAAGCUUCUAGUGAGAAAACAACUGCCCGUACCGUAAACCGACACAGGUAGUCGAGGAGAGUAUCCUAAGGUGAGCGAGCGAACUCUCGUUAAGGAACUCGGCAAAAUGACCCCGUAACUUCGGGAGAAGGGGUGCUGACUUCGGUCAGCCGCAGUGAAUAGGCCCAAGCGACUGUUUAUCAAAAACACAGGUCUCUGCAAAAUCGUAAGAUGAAGUAUAGGGGCUGACGCCUGCCCGGUGCUGGAAGGUUAAGAGGAUGGGUUAGCUUCGGCGAAGCUCAGAAUUGAAGCCCCAGUAAACGGCGGCCGUAACUAUAACGGUCCUAAGGUAGCGAAAUUCCUUGUCGGGUAAGUUCCGACCCGCACGAAAGGCGUAACGAUUUGGGCACUGUCUCAACGAGAGACUCGGUGAAAUUUUAGUACCUGUGAAGAUGCAGGUUACCCGCGACAGGACGGAAAGACCCCAUGGAGCUUUACUGUAGUUUGAUAUUGAGUGUUUGUACCACAUGUACAGGAUAGGUAGGAGCCGAUGAGACCGGAACGCUAGUUUCGGAGGAGGCGCUGGUGGGAUACUACCCUUGUGUUAUGAACCCUCUAACCCGCACCACUAAUCGUGGUGGGAGACAGUGUCAGAUGGGCAGUUUGACUGGGGCGGUCGCCUCCUAAAAGGUAACGGAGGCGCCCAAAGGUUCCCUCAGAAUGGUUGGAAAUCAUUCGAAGAGUGUAAAGGCAGAAGGGAGCUUGACUGCGAGACCUACAAGUCGAGCAGGGACGAAAGUCGGGCUUAGUGAUCCGGUGGUUCCGCAUGGAAGGGCCAUCGCUCAACGGAUAAAAGCUACCCUGGGGAUAACAGGCUUAUCUCCCCCAAGAGUCCACAUCGACGGGGAGGUUUGGCACCUCGAUGUCGGCUCGUCGCAUCCUGGGGCUGUAGUCGGUCCCAAGGGUUGGGCUGUUCGCCCAUUAAAGCGGCACGCGAGCUGGGUUCAGAACGUCGUGAGACAGUUCGGUCCCUAUCCGUCGCGGGCGUUGGAAAUUUGAGAGGAGCUGUCCUUAGUACGAGAGGACCGGGAUGGACUUACCGCUGGUGUACCAGUUGUUCUGCCAAGGGCAUUGCUGGGUAGCUAUGUAGGGAAGGGAUAAACGCUGAAAGCAUCUAAGUGUGAAGCCCACCUCAAGAUGAGAUUUCCCAUUUCUUUAAGAAAGUAAGACCCCUGAGAGAUGAUCAGGUAGAUAGGUUGGAAGUGGAAGGCUAGUGAUAGUUGGAGCGGACCAAUACUAAUCGGUCGAGGACUUAACCAA
Molecule: ribosomal RNA, 2911 nt
Filed under: Enterococcus faecalis EnGen0078
Lineage: Bacteria; Bacillati; Bacillota; Bacilli; Lactobacillales; Enterococcaceae
Also listed under: 2 other names
Description: bacterial LSU rRNA
Rfam family: Bacterial large subunit ribosomal RNA
Source: RNAcentral